This 434-nucleotide ribosomal RNA is filed under the name uncultured bacterium. RNAcentral describes it as "bacterial SSU rRNA". It matches the Rfam family "Bacterial small subunit ribosomal RNA", at positions 772 to 1196 of the family's 1533-position model. The record is from RNAcentral.
ACCAAAUAGAUACCCGGGUAGUCCACGCCCUAAACGAUGCGAACUGGAUGUUGGGUACAUUACGGUACUCAGUGUCGAAAGACUAAACGCGUUAAGUUCGCCGCCUGGGGAGUACGGUCGCAAGACUGAAACUCAAAGGAAUUGACGGGGGCCCGGCACAAGCGGUGGAGUAUGUGGUUUAAUUACGAUGCAACGACGAAGAAACCUUACCUUGGCCUUGACAUCUGUCGAAUCCUGCAGAGAUGCGGGAGUGCCGCAAGGAACGACAAGACAGGUGCUGCAUGGCUGUCGUCAGCUCGUGUCGUGAGAUGUUGGGUUAAGUCCCGCAACGAGCGCAACCCUUGUCCCUAGUUGCCAGCACGUAAUGGUGGGAACUCUAGGGAGACUGCCGGUGACAAACCGGAGGAAGGUGGGGUAUGACGUCAAGUCCUCAU